CCAACGGCCCUUUUAAGGGCCACCACUUUCUCCAAAGAGCAGUCAAU
Molecule: regulatory RNA element, 47 nt
Organism: Folsomia candida
Lineage: Eukaryota; Metazoa; Arthropoda; Collembola; Entomobryomorpha; Isotomidae
Rfam family: Histone 3' UTR stem-loop
About the family: The mRNAs of metazoan histone genes lack a poly-A tail. 3' end processing occurs at a site between a highly conserved stem-loop (modelled by this family) and a purine rich region around 20 nts downstream (the histone downstream element, or HDE).
Source: Rfam